ACCUUUCUUACACGCUCAUCUCAUAGUGGGAUUACAGCAAGUUGCACCUAAGCCUCAUAUCGCCAACACUGAACCGAGUUCUGCUUUUGUUGUUUUGGGAAAAUGAUUUGUGGAGCCGACAGAACCUAAUCUAAUCGAUACAUCGACUCUUUCCUCCUAAAAUAUGCUAAUAUGUGAUGGAAUCAUACACAAAUUCGAAGUGCAGCUUCGUCUGAAACCGAAAUUACAUCUGAUAUGGACGGAGAAUCAGCUGCCAUCAUCGCUUUCUUACGAAGCCCACCUUUUGCAAAAAUUGUGAGCGGGAUUAUAAAGUCCGAAACUGUAGCCCUACACUCUGAAAUUGGAGUAUGAUUUCACCUUAACCCACGAAAAAUGUAAUGAAGCAAAACCAGACGAUUAUAUUUGCAAUCUACCACAAAAAACAAGAUUAUCUCAAGAUGCACCAUGCGAAGUUCAACUUCUGAAAUUUACCCAAAAUUAUCAAGACUGUCAAGUCCUGCAAAUUCAAGUUAAUGACGUACAAAUUAAAGAAAAUUAACAAAAAUCAAUGUAUAGGAAUUUUUCCAACUGAACAACCAGUAACUUCAAUUUGUAAUCAAGAUGAAGAAUCUCAAUCAAUCAAAGGAAGUUAUGCAAUCGUCGUUCCUGUUGGAUGUAAACUUCGAAUCAACUGGACAACCCUUCAAGCUUAUCAAGACCCAGUUUAUCAGAAGAUAUCCGUUCAACUUCCAAAAAUCGAAACCUCAAAAUAAAUUACCAAAAAAAAGAUUUUCAUCUAGAACCUCUCCAAGUUGAAAAAAUCGACUUGAGCAAUCUUCAAUCCGUUUAUCAUCAAAUGCAACAAAUCCAACAAACCUUCGAAAAGAAGAUAGUGAAACAAUUUCCUAUAAUACAAGCAUUUAGACAAUUUUAAUUUAUGUUUUGUUAAUAGCUACCGCUCUUUAUUUACUUUGGACAAAAUGUCUUUAUCCCAAAAUUAUGAUGAGAAGAAUCAAGGAACAAGCAGCAAAUCAGCCCAUACCAUAAGCCAUUCCAAUUGAAAAUUUGGUGUCGCAAACCAUCCUCAAAUUUUCAAUCUAACGGGGGAGGUGUUAUGUUAUUUCCAUCCACGUGCCUAUGGAUCAGCAUAGAAGCUUCCAUAAGGAGACGUAAACAUCACGCGCUUUACCAUCAUCAAAAACCUUGCAGCCGUUGCAAUAAUUUAUAUUAUAAAUUCAGGAUAGAACAUACGCAUUGUAGUCUGUAGUCUGAAUUCAAAUCUGAAAUUAAAGUCUGGUUUUGUUAAGUUCAAGUUUUAAGUUUAGUUUUGUUAAUUAAGUCUUAGUCUCU
Long non-coding RNA from Tribolium madens (black flour beetle), 1329 nucleotides. RefSeq lists it as uncharacterized. The record is from RefSeq and is a predicted model, not a curated record. The transcript is spliced from 3 exons. NCBI's taxonomy places the organism in Eukaryota, Metazoa, Arthropoda, Insecta, Coleoptera, Tenebrionidae.